UGGCGCACUGAAAGGGGAGAUUCAUGUCACCUUCAUCAGUCCUUUCUUUAAUCACUGGACACCAUUAAGGGAAAGACCCUCAGACGUGUCAUAAUAGGAUAAAUGCGGCUGCAGUUUUUGACAGAUUGGACUAGUUAACUUACUUCAACAACUUCUGGGACAAGGCCUGGUGAGAGUCACUACAGAGGAUCAUAGCCAUUGUUGGAAUUCUGAAAGGAUGUGGGUGAAUAUCAAUCUGCCAAAUGAACAUUCACAUCUGUAUAUUAAUACUGAUUAUAUAUGAACUUGUUUGUUUGUAACUGGAAAGAACUUAGCCUCUAUUGUUUUUGACUGAAGGACUUGACCGUGUUUUAAGCCUAUGUGCAUUUUCUAUUACCAGUACCUGCUCUGGCCGUGCUCCAUUUUCCAUUGCAGAUCAUACCCAGAGAUAGUACCCCUCAAUGCUGCUGGUCAGCAUAGCAAGGCCACACACAACUGCCGGGACGUACUGUUCAAUGCGACACACACACCUGCGACCCACAUACAGCUGUCUCUUGAUUUAAGUUAAAACGUUUCAGCAUUACUCAGAAUGUAAAGACAGAUACUUAAAGGUGCUCUAAGCGAUGCCGGGAGUCGUAACUUCUUGUUGACGUUCGAAUUGUUGUCAAACAAAACAGAGGCUAGCUAGACCCUCCUUCCUCCUCAUCCGUGCACUAAGCCCCCCAAACCCCACCCCCAAAUCUUUCUUGUCGGUUAUUGGCUGUAACAGUUUGUUAUGUUUCGUGGUGCGGGUGUGCCCAGUUUGUUUUUCUUGUUGUUUGUGGAGCCUGUGGUGUCUAGAGAGACCGUGUUUUUUUACAGUGUGUUCAGGGGACAGGCAGCUAGCGGAUAGUGAGGAGAUGUUUGCAGGAUGUGACAAAAGAUGUUUUGGCCUAAAAAACGUGUGACAUCACUUAGAGCACCUUUAAUUAAUAUAACAUUUAAUUUAACUAAAACAAAUAUCAAAUACAUGUCUAAUACUUCAUCAACGCGUCAUACUCCUGGAAAAGACCCACAUAAAGCGCACAUUUUAAAAUGAUUAAUAUCCACAUCACUGCUGUAUUUUUCAGAUGUCAGAUCAAAUUGAGGGGAACAAGCCUGCAUCCCAAUGUGCACACUAUCCAUCCUAAAUAGUAUAUAAGAAAAUACAGUAUAUAUUUUUUGUACGAUAGUUGUUUUUAUAGAACAUCUCUGCAGUGAAUGUUUUUGUUUAAAUAAUUACAAGGAUAUGAAGUAGAUUAUUAUUUUAACGUUAUUACAUUGCAUUUCUAC
Cyprinus carpio carpio is the source of this 1290-nucleotide long non-coding RNA. Lineage: Eukaryota; Metazoa; Chordata; Actinopteri; Cypriniformes; Cyprinidae. The record is from Ensembl.